Molecule: ribosomal RNA, 301 nt
Filed under: uncultured bacterium
Lineage: Bacteria
Description: partial 16S ribosomal RNA
Rfam family: Bacterial small subunit ribosomal RNA
Source: RNAcentral
CAGUCGCCGCGGGAAUACGUAGGUGGCAAGCGUUGUCCGGAAUUAUUGGGCGUAAAGGGCGCGUAGGCGGACUGAUAAGUCAGGGGUGAAAUCCCAAGGCUCAACCUUGGAACUGCCUUUGAUACUGUUUGUCUUGAGUUCGAGAGAGGUAAGUGGAACUGCGAGUGUAGAGGUGAAAUUCGUAGAUAUUCGCAAGAACACCAGUGGCGAAGGCGGCUUACUGGCUCGAAACUGACGCUGAGGCGCGAAAGCGUGGGGAGCAAACAGGAUUAGAUACCCCGGUAGUCCCUGUCUCUUAUAC